This 1575-nucleotide long non-coding RNA is filed under the name Cucumis sativus (cucumber). RNAcentral describes it as "long non-coding RNA (CSAT_LNC002301)". Lineage: Eukaryota; Viridiplantae; Streptophyta; Magnoliopsida; Cucurbitales; Cucurbitaceae. The record is from RNAcentral.
GCGUUAUUUAAACUGGAAAGUUAGGCCUACGGUGGCCGAGUGCCAAAGUGUAGCGUGGAGUUCACCGGUAUUAAAUUCUGAAUUUAUCAAUUUAAUUUUUGUUAGUAAUAAUCAUUUUAUGUUUUUUUAUUCAUUUUGUCAUUUAACUUCAAUUUUAUUUUUGAAAACUAUUUUAUAUUUGCUAUGUUUAUCAAAAUUUUGAAUUUUAAAUUUUAAAAUCUCCAAUCAAAUGAAAACAAAACAUCAAGAAAUACCAAUAUGUAUUAUAAAUUAUCUAAUACAAAAUACCAAUUUUUUUUUAAUUUUUAAAACAUAAAUUAUACUUUAAAAUAAGAUCAUGUUUUGCUUGGAUAGAGAACAUUUUUCUCUUUUGAUAAUAUAUAUAUAAAAUAAACUUUGAAAAGUGUUAUUUAUUCUUUUAAAAAAAUAUAUUCAAGGUCUACAUGUUACCCUUGUAAUUGCAAGGAAGAGCUAGAGCUUAAUGACAUUAAUGUAAAACCCAAUAAGAAUCAAAUCAAAGUAUCUUUACCAAUAAGAUAUCUAUGCAGAGUUAGCUUUGUUUUGUAGAAGAAGUACCUUUUUAACUAACCAACUUACAAUGGCUUUAGAACAACUCUCUCAUCACUAUUUUCUCUUACAAGAUGUUUCUCUCCUUUUCUAGACUUGCUUAUGUUUGGUUUAGGUUCACAAAGUUUAGCUUUACUGAAUCUAAUGGACGGGGUGUUGCUUCUAUGAGAAAGUUAAUAUAUGUUUUAUUAUAAGAGAGAAUUACACAUACGAAAUUCAAGCACUAGAAAGAGAAAUUAUCUUUGUGAUUAUAGCAAUACAAUAGCUAAACUCUAUCACCUCACAUACUUCCACCUCAUUUAAUUACACUAUCACACACACACAAUAACCCCAAACCUGUUAAUCAAACCAACACCUCUCAAAACUUUCAAAUCUUUCAAAUAAUUAACAUAAAAUGCUCACAUUAUGUCUCACGCUCCCAAAGAAAAGAAGCAUAAACCUUGGUCAUCUCUUACAAGAUCGUGUAUAUUUUUACCUUAUAGGUGUAUGCGCCUUGUUGUUACUAUGCAUGGAUUGUGUUAUUUGUAUUGUCAGUAAUUGACAUAAGCCAAAGUUUUAUGAGCCAUCUUCACUACUAUAAAAAGAGGUGAUUUUAAAGAUAAAACGUCAAAAAAAUUUAUGAAAAGGGGGAGGUGACCAUUUUUUAGAUUUCUUGACGUUUUUUAAACGUCAAGAAAUUUUACAAAAAAGGUAGAGAGGAGUCAUUUUCCAAAUUUCUUAACCUUUUUAAAAACGUCAAGUAAGAUCAUUUUCCUUGAUGUUUUAAAAACGUCAAGUGUUAUUAAAUAUGUAUAUAAAUAAAAAAUAUUGUGUUAAUUCCUUCAAAAGCCGUAAGAUGAAAACACGUUCUUUCCCUUAAUGCAAACGCAGGAAGAAGCAGAACUUACCGUCUCAGUCGUUGCCCUCUCAAUCGGCAUCUCCAUCUCUCUCGACUGCACUCUCAAUUUCCAUCUCCAUCUCUAUUUUGGUUCCUCUCAAUCGUCAUCUCCAUCUCCACACUCUUAUCGC